UACGUAGGUGGCGAGCGUUAUCCGGAAUUACUGGGUGUAAAGGGUGUGUAGGCGGGGUGUCAAGUCAGAUGUGAAAAUUAUGGGCUCAACCCAUAACCUGCGUCCGAAACUGGCGCUCUUGAGAGUGGAAGAGGUAAACGGAAUUCCUGGUGUAGCGGUGAAAUGCGUAGAUAUCAGGAGGAACACCGGUGGCGAAGGCGGUUUACUGGACCACAACUGACGCUGAGACACGAAAGCGUGGGGGGCAAAC
RNAcentral lists this ribosomal RNA (250 nucleotides) under uncultured prokaryote. Its description in RNAcentral is "partial 16S ribosomal RNA". It matches the Rfam family "Bacterial small subunit ribosomal RNA", at positions 524 to 773 of the family's 1533-position model. The record is from RNAcentral.